Molecule: ribosomal RNA, 428 nt
Filed under: bacterium enrichment culture clone ALO1_GLFRUDD03G4QCO
Lineage: Bacteria
Description: bacterial SSU rRNA
Rfam family: Bacterial small subunit ribosomal RNA
Source: RNAcentral
GAGUUUGAUCGUGGCUCAGAUUGAACGCUGGCGGCAGGCCUAACACAUGCAAGUCGAGCGGAUGACGGGAGCUUGCUCCUUGAUUCAGCGGCGGACGGGUGAGUAAUGCCUAGGAAUCUGCCUGGUAGUGGGGGACAACGUUUCGAAAGGAACGCUAAUACCGCAUACGUCCUACGGAGAAAGCAGGGGACCUUCGGGCCUUGCGCUAUCAGAUGAGCCUAGGUCGGAUUAGCUAGUUGGUGGGGUAAUGGCUCACCAAGGCGACGAUCCGUAACUGGUCUGAGAGGAUGAUCAGUCACACUGGAACUGAGACACGGUCCAGACUCCUACGGGAGGCAGCAGUGGGGAAUAUUGGACAAUGGGCGAAAGCCUGAUCCAGCCAUGCCGCGUGUGUGAAGAAGGUCUUCGGGAUUGUAAAGCACUUUAAG